RNAcentral lists this long non-coding RNA (1302 nucleotides) under Homo sapiens (human). RNAcentral describes it as "non-protein coding lnc-CSRNP3-7:1". The record is from RNAcentral. Lineage: Eukaryota; Metazoa; Chordata; Mammalia; Primates; Hominidae.
UAAAAAUAUCCUAUCAGUCCUUUCUAAGAAGCCUGAAUUGACCAAAAAACAUCCCCACCACCACUUUAUAAAGUUGAUUCUGCUUUAUCCUGCAGUAUUGUUUAGCCAUCUUCUGCUCUUGGUAAGGUUGACAUAGUAUAUGUCAAUUUAAAAAAUAAAAGUCUGCUUUGUAAAUAGUAAUUUUACCCAGUGGUGCAUGUUUGAGCAAACAAAAAUGAUGAUUUAAGCACACUACUUAUUGCAUCAAAUAUGUACCACAGUAAGUAUAGUUUGCAAGCUUUCAACAGGUAAUAUGAUGUAAUUGGUUCCAUUAUAGUUUGAAGCUGUCACUGCUGCAUGUUUAUCUUGCCUAUGCUGCUGUAUCUUAUUCCUUCCACUGUUCAGAAGUCUAAUAUGGGAAGCCAUAUAUCAGUGGUAAAGUGAAGCAAAUUGUUCUACCAAGACCUCAUUCUUCAUGUCAUUAAGCAAUAGGUUGCAGCAAACAAGGAAGAGCUUCUUGCUUUUUAUUCUUCCAACCUUAAUUGAACACUCAAUGAUGAAAAGCCCGACUGUACAAACAUGUUGCAAGCUGCUUAAAUCUGUUUAAAAUAUAUGGUUAGAGUUUUCUAAGAAAAUAUAAAUACUGUAAAAAGUUCAUUUUAUUUUAUUUUUCAGCCUUUUGUACGUAAAAUGAGAAAUUAAAAGUAUCUUCAGGUGGAUGUCACAGUCACUAUUGUUAGUUUCUGUUCCUAGCACUUUUAAAUUGAAGCACUUCACAAAAUAAGAAGCAAGGACUAGGAUGCAGUGUAGGUUUCUGCUUUUUUAUUAGUACUGUAAACUUGCACACAUUUCAAUGUGAAACAAAUCUCAAACUGAGUUCAAUGUUUAUUUGCUUUCAAUAGUAAUGCCUUAUCAUUGAAAGAGGCUUAAAGAAAAAAAAAAUCAGCUGAUACUCUUGGCAUUGCUUGAAUCCAAUGUUUCCACCUAGUCUUUUUAUUCAGUAAUCAUCAGUCUUUUCCAAUGUUUGUUUACACAGAUAGAUCUUAUUGACCCAUAUGGCACUAGAACUGUAUCAGAUAUAAUAUGGGAUCCCAGCUUUUUUUCCUCUCCCACAAAACCAGGUAGUGAAGUUAUAUUACCAGUUACAGCAAAAUACUUUGUGUUUCACAAGCAACAAUAAAUGUAGAUUCUUUAUACUGAAGCUAUUGACUUGUAGUGUGUUGGUGAAAUGCAUGCAGGAAAAUGCUGUUACCAUAAAGAACGGUAAACCACAUUACAAUCAAGCCAAAAGAAUAAAGGUUUCGCUUUUGUUUUUGUAUUUAA